RNAcentral lists this ribosomal RNA (271 nucleotides) under uncultured prokaryote. Its description in RNAcentral is "partial 16S ribosomal RNA". It matches the Rfam family "Bacterial small subunit ribosomal RNA", at positions 524 to 794 of the family's 1533-position model. The record is from RNAcentral.
UACGUAGGUGGCGAGCGUUAUCCGGAUUUACUGGGUGUAAAGGGCGUGUAGGCGGCUCUGCAAGUCAGAUGUGAAAUUUCCGGGCUUAACCCGGACGGGUCAUCUGAAACUGCAGGACUUGAGUACUGGAGAGGAUAGCGGAAUUCCUAGUGUAGCGGUAAAAUGCGUAGAUAUUAGGAGGAACACCGGUGGCGAAGGCGGCUAUCUGGACAGUAACUGACGCUGAGGCGCGAAAGCGCGGGGAGCAAACAGGAUUAGAUACCCUGGUAGU